AAAGAAAGAAAGAAAGAAAAAAGAAAAAGGGAAAUUUAAGGUUUUAAGGUUCCAAGCUCAAUUGGUAAGUUAAAUUAAGUCCUUUUCUUAUUAUUUUUGAUGUUUUUUGUAUCUUAGAACAAAGUAUUAUUGGAUUUAUGUUGGAAUUCGGGUAGUUAUUAUAUUUUCAGACAUGAGUUAUGUUGAAUUAAUUGAUGAACUAGAGGUUAAAAUGAUUGAAUUUUAAAUUAGAAGUUAGUAAAAGAUUGAUUUGUAAAAUAAAAUAUAAGUUUUGAAUUGAUAGGGAUUAAAUUGAAAGAAUCCUGAAAUUAGGGAUUUAUGGGGAAAUUGAAGAAUUAAACUGAGUUUAUAGUAAGAAUUAAGAGAGGAUAUAGAGUUAGAUUGGGAAAAUAAAAUUAUUAUUGAUAAUGGAUUAAAUUAGAAUUUGGGUAAAGUUUAGGUAUAAAAAUAAAUAUUUUAAUAAAAUUGUGUAUUAAUGAUUUUUAAUUGUUUAAUUACGUAGCUAAUGUCGUGUACGAGUCAUUGUCAGAGAAAGGAAAGGAGAAAGUGGACAAGGAGUGACUCGAGAGAAAUUCCGGUUAGUAUUACCAUAAUUCGAAUUUAAUUAUUAAUUGUUAAAAUUUAAAUUAAUAUGCAUGAUAAGAAAAUUGAGGUGAGUAUCAUGAUUGAAUCGAAUGAAAUAUAUAUAUACUUAUUGAUAUUGAAUUUAUUGAUAGUAAUUGUUGAAUUUUGAAUAAUAUGUUUAGUAAAUAAAAAUAAGGAGAAUAUCGAUAUUUAAUUGAAUGAAUUAAAAAUAUGAAUUGAAUAAAAGUGAAUUAAAUUAUGAAUAAGUGUGAAUACGUGAAUUGAGUAUUGACUGAAAAGUGGUUUGAUUCGAAUCGAGGUAUGAUUUGUGAAAUAUGUAUUGGUACUGAAUUGUAUAUUGAUUUGAAAGUGGGAAGUGAAUUUGAAAUAGAAAAAUGUAUUGAAUCAAAUGGUGAUUAAAUUGUAUAAUGAUUUGAAUUGAAAGUAUGAGAAAGUGAUUGAAUUGAAAUGUGAUUCGGAAACCCUAUUAACUAGUCGGGCGGAGUCGGAUAUAGUUGGUAUGCCAUAGGAUUGGAAGUGUUCAGGGAUACUUCGACCUUGAGUCGAUGAGACACUGGGUGUCAUACUGUUACUUCGGAUACAUUCGAUGAGGUACUGGGUACCAACUUACUUCGGCUUUGCCGAUGAGACACUGGGUGUCAACUAUUGCUUCGAACUAUCCGAUGAGGCACUGGGUGCCAUUCUGGUGUGUUUGGUUGGAUCCGUGUAUCCGCCAAAGUUCGAGUCUUGUUAAUAGGGGUAAAUAAUUGAAAUGAGAAAAUUUGAAUAAGUGUGACUGAUUGGGGUAUGGAAAGAAAUGAGAAAGUGAAAUUGUGAAUUGAUAUGUGAAUUGGAAAUCGAGAUAUGAGAUUUAAAGAUAUGAACCCAAAUUUCAUAAUAUGAUAAAGAGUAAAUUUUGUUAUAUGAUAUUAGUGAGUACAAAUUGCAAUAAAAUUGAUAUUGAAUAUAAAUUAAAUGAAAUGAAUUGUAUAUGAAUUGAAAUGAACUAUUGGAAUGAGAUGUAAAGAAAAAUCCCAUGGAAUUGAGAUAGUGAAAUAAGGUAUGAAUACAAUUAAAUAUAAGAUUUGAAUUAUUGCUUAUUGUUAUUAAUUAUCAAGUUGAUUUAAUGUAUGAGAUAAUUAAUGAAUAAUUGUAGACAUAAAUAAAAUAUAUAUAAUUUAUCGAUUAAUGUUAUUAAUUUGAAUUAUGGUAAUACCACUGAGUAUACCCAUACUCAGCGUACGGUUGUUUCCGUGCGCAGGUUAGUAAAAAAACCAAUGUUCGAUCAAGCAUCCAAAGUAAUCCCGACCUCAGAGACAUUUUAGUGAUGUACCUUUCUGUUGAUAAUGUGGCAUGUACCUAAGUAAUGUACAUACCUAAGUAAUGUAUAUACCUAAAUGAUGUAUAGGGAUUUAGUUAUUUCGUAUGUUUGUAAUUAUGAUUUUGCUAUAGAAAGAUGUGUAAGUAUUUGAUGAUGAAUGGUUGUUUAAAAGGGUCAAGGAUGAAGAUGUUUGUUGUUAUAAAGGUCUAGGUGAUAAAUUAUGUAUGGAAAUCAUGAAAGGGUAAAAUUUUGCAAAGAAGCAGAAUUCAGACAGCAGCAGUGACGUGAAUGUGAAAAAUCAUCAUAAAUAUUAUAAAUGGAAUUAGAGAGUGAAUGAUAUAUAGAAUUAAAGCUUAUCAAGUCUAUUUUUAUAGGGAAGAAACGUUGUAGGAAAAAUGAUUUUGUAUUUUGAUAUAUUAGAGUUUUAGUGAGACGGGGUCAAAACUGUUUUGGAGUCCCCUGUUCUGAGUUGAGAAAAUCAUUAAAAAUGGUAAAAAUAUAGUUAUGAGUUGUUGUUUAUAUGUAUAGAAUCCUUAUUGAGUCUAUUUUCUGUAGAAAUAAGUAAUAACUUCAUAUGAAAAUCCUACAAUGAGAAAUUUUAUUUUUAGUGACAAGAGGUCAGGGCAGUCAAUUGGUGAAACAUGUCAUACUUUAACUAAUAAACUGUACUAAUUGGACAAACAAAAAAUUCUUAAAAUUUUAUGGUAGAAAGAUAUAUGAGUCUAGUUUCAGGAAAAAUUUACGGAAUUAAAUUUCGAGUCCCGUAGCUCGAGUUAUAAUCAAUUUAGUAACUGCUGCGCGAUUGGGCAGAUUACUGUAAACAGUGAAAUCAAUUUUCAAACCAAAUUUUUAUGCUCCGAAUUGGUAAAAUAAGCUAAGUAAUGCCUCGUGCUCGACUCCGGCAACGGUUUCGGGUAAGGGGUGUUACAUAGAAACAUAUGUAAAUUGUACCUAAGUCGGAAAUGAUACAUUGAGAAAGUUAUUUGGAGAUUCAAUAUGUAGUGCGCCAAGCCUGUUAAUACUCCAUUAGCAGCCCACUUCAGACUCUCAUCGGCUUUGUGUUCGCAAUCAAAUGAUAAGAUUGACUACAUGUUAUGUUUUCUAUAUUCUAGUGCAAUGGGAUCUCUCAUAUAUGCUAUGGUUUUCUCAUUUCCAGAUUUAUCAUAUGCAAUUAUUGCAAUUAGUAGGUACAUGGCAAAUCCCGGUAAAGAGCAUUGGAAAGUAGUUUAGUGGAUUUUCAGAUACUUAUGAGGUACUACUUAUGUUUGUUUACAGUUAGGAAGAACUAAAGAUGGAUUAUUGGGUAUGUUGAUUCUGAUUUUGCUGGAGACCUUGAUAAAAGAAGAUCUCUC
Molecule: long non-coding RNA, 3237 nt
Filed under: Gossypium barbadense (sea-island cotton)
Lineage: Eukaryota; Viridiplantae; Streptophyta; Magnoliopsida; Malvales; Malvaceae
Description: long non-coding RNA (GBAR_LNC013638)
Source: RNAcentral